UAGCGACCGCAGAUGUUUACAAAAACAAAAAUGUCGGCGAAGACGGCUUGACACGCGAUUUUUUUUUUUCAAUAAUUUGCAUACUAUUCGAUUAACUAUCGUUAGAAAAAUCUCAAAAGUGGACUGCUUUCCAUUAGAAAUGGCGAAUCAAUCGAAUGGCGAAUUAUCAGGAGCUGAAAUGCUCGAAAACACCGGGUGUCUGGACCUGCAAAACGGUAACAGCGGUGCGAAAGAUGCCUAAGAAGCCCACGGGACCAGCGUCAGGGACUACUAGGAAAUCUCAGGAAAUACGGUCUCAAAAGCAGAAAAAUGCUCUCGGAUGUGAAUGCUACUGAAUAUUCACAGGAGAACCAAACGGAGCUGAGUUCUGAGCAAGGCAGAUUCUGUGGAAUUAGAAUUUUAGUCAUCUAGAAUCGGGCAUGGGUCUAAGUUUUAGGUUUUAAGUGCAAUUUGUUGAAUUCAUUUCCAUGUAUUGUCCACGAUUGAAUAUUAAUAAAAUGAAAUGGGAGUUUUAUUUUCAACAGUU
Molecule: long non-coding RNA, 526 nt
Organism: Aedes aegypti (yellow fever mosquito)
Lineage: Eukaryota; Metazoa; Arthropoda; Insecta; Diptera; Culicidae
Exons: 2
Source: RefSeq, a predicted model, not a curated record